Drosophila teissieri is the source of this 458-nucleotide long non-coding RNA. RefSeq lists it as uncharacterized. NCBI's taxonomy places the organism in Eukaryota, Metazoa, Arthropoda, Insecta, Diptera, Drosophilidae. The record is from RefSeq and is a predicted model, not a curated record. The transcript is spliced from 2 exons.
ACUCUCUCUAGAGGCUACUAUAAAAGCGCAGAAUCCGAUGCAGGAUAUUCAUACAGUGACUGAACUUCAAAAGCGACGCAACAAUAAUAAUCAACAAACAUGGGUAAACUUUUGGCUUAUACCAUCUUCGUUAUUUACGCUUUGAUCAUGGUGAUGGAUUUUGCUGCAGCAUGCCAAGGUCAUGAUUCAGCGUGUGUUGGAGCAAAUGGAUCGCAAGGAAACUGCUGUGGUGGCAUGCAUUGUCAGAAAAAUGAUCCAAGCUGGAGGGAGGGAAGGUGUUAUUACAACCCUGGAAAAUAGGGGUAAUAUUUGGAUCCCACUCCCACGGCGAUAGCAUGAAUGCGACACCUAGUGGUCGGGCUUGUAUGGAGUGGAGAUAAAAAUCUACAAGUUUUUCCGAAAUUCUAUAAAAGUAUAAUAAAUAAAAUAAAGUAAUAAAAUCGUUUGUAUUCCAAAAA